GAUUAACGCUGGCGGCGUGCAUAACACAUGCAAGUCGAACGAUGAAACUUAAAUUAUUUCUUCGGAAUGAACUUAAGUGGAUUAGUGGCGGACGGGUGAGUAACGCGUGAGUAACCUGCCUUACACAAGGGGAUAGCCGUUGGAAACGAUGAAUAAUACCCUAUGAAACUAUCACUUCGAAUGAAGCGAUAGUCAAAGUGUUAGCGGUGUAAGAUGGACUUGCGUCUGAUUAGCUAGUUGGUGAGAAAAAAGCCCACCAAGGCAACGAUCAGUAGCCGGCUGGAGAGAGUGUACAGCCACAUUGAGACUGAGACACGGCCCAGACUCCUACGGGAGGCAGCAGUGGGGAAUUUUGCACAAUGGGGGAAACCCUGAUGCAGCGACGCCGCGUGAUUGAGAAGGCCUUCGGGUUGUAAAAAUCUUUUGUAUAGGAAGAAAAUGACAGUACUAUACGAAUAAGGUCCGGCUAAUUACGUG
Molecule: ribosomal RNA, 477 nt
Filed under: uncultured bacterium
Lineage: Bacteria
Description: partial 16S ribosomal RNA
Rfam family: Bacterial small subunit ribosomal RNA
Source: RNAcentral